GAUGAACGCUGGUGGCGUGCCUAAUACAUGCAAGUCGAGCGAACGGACGAGAAGCUUGCUUCUCUGAUGUUAGCGGCGGACGGGUGAGUAACACGUGGAUAACCUACCUAUAAGACUGGGAUAACUUCGGGAAACCGGAGCUAAUACCGGAUAAUAUUUUGAACCGCAUGGUUCAAAAGUGAAAGACGGUCUUGCUGUCACUUAUAGAUGGAUCCGCGCUGCAUUAGCUAGUUGGUAAGGUAACGGCUUACCAAGGCAACGAUGCAUAGCCGACCUGAGGGGGUGAUCGGCCACACUGGAACUGAGACACGGUCCAGACUCCUACGGGAGGCAGCAGUAGGGAAUCUUCCGCAAUGGGCGAAAGCCUGACGGAGCAACGCCGCGUGAGUGAUGAAGGUCUUCGGAUCGUAAAACUCUGUUAUUAGGGAAGAACAUAUGUGUAAGUAACUGUGCACAUCUUGACGGUACCUAAUCAGAAAGCCACGGCUAACUACGUG
RNAcentral lists this ribosomal RNA (497 nucleotides) under uncultured bacterium. Its description in RNAcentral is "partial 16S ribosomal RNA". It matches the Rfam family "Bacterial small subunit ribosomal RNA", at positions 28 to 507 of the family's 1533-position model. The record is from RNAcentral.